UACGUAGGGCGCAAGCGUUGUCCGGAAUUAUUGGGCGUAAAGAGCUCGUAGGCGGUCUGUUACGUCCGCUGUGAAAACCCAGGGCUUAACCCUGGGCUUGCAGUGGAUACGGGUAGACUAGAGGCAGGUAGGGGAGAAUGGAAUUCCCGGUGUAGAGGUGAAAUUCGUAGAUAUCGGGAGGAACACCGGUGGCGAAGGCGGCGAUCUGGGUCGAUACUGACGCUGAGGUGCGAAAGCGUGGGGAGCAAACAGG
RNAcentral lists this ribosomal RNA (253 nucleotides) under uncultured bacterium. RNAcentral describes it as "partial 16S ribosomal RNA". It matches the Rfam family "Bacterial small subunit ribosomal RNA", at positions 524 to 776 of the family's 1533-position model. The record is from RNAcentral.